GUUUGAGAUUAGUGGAAUGCUCUGGAAAGUGCGGCCAUAGUGGGUUAUAGCCCUUUACGCGAAAAUCUCUUGGUCAAAACGAGUAGGACGGAGCACGAGAAACUUUGUCUGAAUAUGGGGGGACCAUCCUCCAAGGCUAAAUACUCGUAAUCGACCGAUAGUGAACCAGUACCGUGAGGGAAAGGCGAAAAGAACCCCGGGAGGGGAGUGAAAUAGAUCCUGAAACCGUAUGCGUACAAGCGGUGGGAGCCUACUUUGUUAGGUGACUGCGUACCUUUUGUAUAAUGGGUCAGCGACUU
This 299-nucleotide ribosomal RNA is filed under the name Aplanochytrium stocchinoi. Its description in RNAcentral is "partial Bacterial large subunit ribosomal RNA". It matches the Rfam family "Bacterial large subunit ribosomal RNA", at positions 314 to 629 of the family's 2925-position model. The record is from RNAcentral. Lineage: Eukaryota; Bigyra; Thraustochytrida; Thraustochytriidae.